This 573-nucleotide ribosomal RNA is filed under the name Inocybe polytrichi-norvegici. Its description in RNAcentral is "eukaryotic LSU rRNA". The stretch from base 207 to 360 matches the Rfam family "5.8S ribosomal RNA". Lineage: Eukaryota; Fungi; Basidiomycota; Agaricomycetes; Agaricales; Inocybaceae. The record is from RNAcentral.
UUGCUGGCUCUCCUGAGCAUGUGCACACUUGUCAUCUUUACUUUUCCCCACUGUGCACAUAUUGUAGGCCUGGAAUUCUUUUGAUUAUUUUGUAUAGAUUGAGGACUGCUGUGCUUUCAGCCAGCUUUUCCUUGCAUUUCCAGGUCUAUGUUUACCUUCACAACCUCUGAAUAUGUUUAGAAUGUUGGAAUAUAAUAUAAAUAUACAACUUUCAGCAACGGAUCUCUUGGCUCUCGCAUCGAUGAAGAACGCAGCGAAAUGCGAUAAGUAAUGUGAAUUGCAGAAUUCAGUGAAUCAUCGAAUCUUUGAACGCAUCUUGCGCUCCUUGGUAUUCCGAGGAGCAUGCCUGUUUGAGUGUCAUCAAUCCCUCAACUAUACCAAUCUUUCUGGUUUGGUGUGGCUUUUGGAUGUGGGGGUUUUAUUUUGCUGGCUUCUAUUAAAUGAGGUCAGCUCCCCUGAAAUUUAUUAGCGGUAUCUGAGCAGAGAGACCUACUACAGGUGUGAUAAAUUAUCUAUGCCUUGGUAAUGCUGCAUGAACAGAUUGUGCUGCUUCUAGCGAAUUAUUUGACAAAU